This 406-nucleotide ribosomal RNA is filed under the name uncultured bacterium. RNAcentral's name for it is "partial 16S ribosomal RNA". It matches the Rfam family "Bacterial small subunit ribosomal RNA", at positions 28 to 526 of the family's 1533-position model. The record is from RNAcentral.
GAUGAACGCUGACAGAAUGCUUAACACAUCAGCAAUUGAUUGGUGGCGGACGGGCGAGUAACGCGUAAAGAACUUGCCUCACAGGUAGGGACAACAUUUGGAAACGAAUGCUAAUACCUAAUACUGUGAGAGAGGUUUGCGUCCCAUUAGCUAGUUGGAGAGGUAACGGCUCACGAAGGCGAGGAUGCGUAGCCGGCCUGAGAGGGUGAUCGGCCACAAGGGGACUGGGACACGGCCCUUACUCCUACGGGGGGAAGCAGUGGAGAAUAUUGGACAAAGGACCAAAGUCUGAGCCGGGAUUUCGGUUUGCACGAUGAAGUUUUCGGAAGGAAGAUUGCUUUCAGUUGAGAAGCGGUACCAACAGAAGAAGUGACGGCUAAAUACGUGCCAGCAGCCGCGGUAAUUC